This is a long non-coding RNA of Betta splendens (Siamese fighting fish), 1207 nucleotides long. RefSeq lists it as uncharacterized. Lineage: Eukaryota; Metazoa; Chordata; Actinopteri; Anabantiformes; Osphronemidae. The transcript is spliced from 3 exons. The record is from RefSeq and is a predicted model, not a curated record.
AGCAGGCGGGGCCAUGAAGCUGAGACGCACACGGGCUUCUGUUUGGAGGGAGCUGCGGGAAGAUUAAAAGCAGGUAGGUGUAUUGAUUGGCGGAUAGACGGCAGCGCGGUGGACAUUGAUUGGGCAAACAGCCAAUUUCUGACCCCGGAGAGCAGCAGAUAAUCAGUGACCUCAAUCCAGAAGGAGACGCAGAGAAUGAAGCGAGCGCUGCAGAGAUGUUUCUCGCUCUGCUCUAAUUUAAUGACCUUUUUCGGUUUCAAAUGCUAAAUGUGGACGCACUGAUGCAGCGCAGUGUCCUCAUCAACACUGGCUUCUGUUGUUGUUUGGGUCACAUACGUUUUAUGUUUGGCCAAGUCACGUGACGUGACCCCUGGUCCACUCAGACCCCUUUGACCUUUGGAAGUGAGCAGCCAAUCAAUAGCACAAUAAACAGAAUGGAUGCUUUCAUAACAGAUCCAGAGCUUCAAGUAAAUGACUGUACUUUCCACUAAUGAAUGUGAAACGAUGAGUGAGAUGAUGGUAAAGCGUCUCGAACAGUGACCAGUGUGGUCGUGUUUUUAACAAAAAAGACAAUUACAGCAGAGACCUGCGUGACCUGACACCCACCGCCGGCUGCAGAGAACGUGAGGGCGGAGCAGGUUUCUGAUGGUAACGUGACCGGAGCGGAGAAAACCCUGGAAUUAGGUUGUGCACGGCUUCUCACUGCCUUCAGGGAAUGAAAAGCGGUGGCUGGGAGCGGAGACCUUCACAUUGCCUGCGCAGCCACAGGCCAUUUGGGGGACUCUGAACCCACCAGUUUACAACCUGCAUGGAUCUGUGGGGGAGGGGCUGAGCAACCACAGGUUCCCUCCUGGUAAUUGCCUGGUCAGUCUUUGAUUCUGGACUUUACGUGGAUGUUGGACAAGAUAAUGUUUAGAAUAUUAAGGCUUUUAGCAGUACUGUUAAAGAUAAAGCCUGCCUAAACUCUUUAUUGUCAAUAAAUCACAUAUAUGCACAAAAAACGCAAUAACAAACAUAGAGAAAAUGUGCAGCAUUAUGCUUUAGGUGAUUAUAAUAACACAAGGGUUUAUCUUUACUGAUGUUCUUUAUAAUCUACUAAAAAUAAUAUAAAUAAUUGCUGAACCUUUUAUUAACAUGACCAACAUAUAUUACCAUUAGCUCUGUUUUCAGUACACCAAACAAUAUUUAACGUACAAACAUACCUUCU